GACAAGUGUUAUGUAGCUUCCUACUUACCUCCUACUGAUUCACGCAAAUUUACCGUCGUUGAUGGAAUGUUAGGGGCUACCAAUAUCGUCAGCUUCUUGCAGAAUAACAAUUCAUCUUCAUAUGUUCCACUAUUGUUAUUAUUGAGAGACAUAAGUAGUCAAGAUGGAGAACUCCAGGCAGACACAAGUACUCAGGAGGUUCCAAAAAUCUUAUCUGAUGCAUCUAAUGUGGAUGGAGCUUUAUAUGAUGGUGAUAAUUGCAGAAAAUAUGGGCAAAAUCAAGUACAAGGAAUUAGUGGAGUAAUUAACCUUUCAUCCAUAUCUAGUAAAGCGCAACCCGGAGGUCAUACAACGAAGAUAAUCCACCACAUUCCAAAUGCAACAAUAAUCUUUAGCAGGGAACUUUUUAAAAAACUGAUAAAAUGCAUCAGUUAAUUCUCCCAACCAGAAUCUUAGAGCAAUUUCCGAUUGAGCAAGGAUAUGAAAGGGAAUUUCCAGGAUUCGACGGCAAUGGUAACCGGUGGGAUUUUAUCCUAGCAAUUCGUGAAGUUCGUAAGUAUCUUAAACCAUAUCUUCG
This 577-nucleotide unclassified non-coding RNA is filed under the name Hevea brasiliensis (rubber tree). Lineage: Eukaryota; Viridiplantae; Streptophyta; Magnoliopsida; Malpighiales; Euphorbiaceae. The record is from RNAcentral.